GGCGGCGUGCCUAAUACAUGCAAGUAGAACGCUGAAGGAGGAGCUUGCUUCUCCGGAUGAGUUGCGAACGGGUGAGUAACGCGUAGGUAACCUGCCUGGUAGCGGGGGAUAACUAUUGGAAACGAUAGCUAAUACCGCAUAAGAGUAGAUGUUGCAUGACAUUUGCUUAAAAGGUGCAAUCGCAUCACUACCAGAUGGACCUGCGUUGUAUUAGCUAGUUGGUGGGGUAACGGCUCACCAAGGCGACGAUACAUAGCCGACCUGAGAGGGUGAUCGGCCACACUGGGACUGAGACACGGCCCAGACUCCUACGGGAGGCAGCAGUAGGGAAUCUUCGGCAAUGGACGGAAGUCUGACCGAGCAACGCCGCGUGAGUGAAGAAGGUUUUCGGAUCGUAAAGCUCUGUUGUAAGAGAAGAAACGAGUGUGAGAGUGGAAAGUUUCACAACUGUGACGG
RNAcentral lists this ribosomal RNA (456 nucleotides) under Streptococcus mitis. RNAcentral describes it as "bacterial SSU rRNA". It matches the Rfam family "Bacterial small subunit ribosomal RNA", at positions 38 to 475 of the family's 1533-position model. Lineage: Bacteria; Bacillati; Bacillota; Bacilli; Lactobacillales; Streptococcaceae. The record is from RNAcentral.